Molecule: ribosomal RNA, 245 nt
Filed under: uncultured bacterium
Lineage: Bacteria
Description: partial 16S ribosomal RNA
Rfam family: Bacterial small subunit ribosomal RNA
Source: RNAcentral
UACGGAGGGUGCAAGCGUUGUUCGGAAUUACUGGGCGUAAAGGGCGCGUAGGCGGUUUAAUAAGUCAGAUGUGAAAGCCCACGGCUUAACUGUGGAAGUGCAUUUGAAACUGUUAGACUUGAGUAUCAGAGGGGAAAGUGGAAUUCCCGGUGUAGAGGUGAAAUUCGUAGAUAUCGGGAGGAAUACCGGUGGCGAAGGCGACUUUCUGGCUGAAUACUGACGCUGAGGCGCGAAAGCGUGGGGAG